GACGAACGCUGGCGGCGUGCCUAAUACAUGCAAGUUGAGCGCUGAAGGUUGGUACUUGUACCAACUGGAUGAGCAGCGAACGGGUGAGUAACGCGUGGGGAAUCUGCCUUUGAGCGGGGGACAACAUUUGGAAACGAAUGCUAAUACCGCAUAAAAACUUUAAACACAAGUUUUAAGUUUGAAAGAUGCAAUUGCAUCACUCAAAGAUGAUCCCGCGUUGUAUUAGCUAGUUGGUGAGGUAAAGGCUCACCAAGGCGAUGAUACAUAGCCGACCUGAGAGGGUGGUCGGCCACAUUGGGACUGAGACACGGCCCAAACUCCUACGGGAGGCAGCAGUAGGGAAUCUUCGGCGAUGGACGAAAGUCUGACCGAGCAACGCCGCGUGAGUGAAGAAGGGUUUCGGAUCGUAAAACUCUGUUGGUAGAGAAGAACGUUGGUGAGAGUGGAAAGCUCAUCAAGUGACGGUAACUACCCAGAAAGGGACGGCUAACUACGUG
Molecule: ribosomal RNA, 497 nt
Filed under: uncultured bacterium
Lineage: Bacteria
Description: partial 16S ribosomal RNA
Rfam family: Bacterial small subunit ribosomal RNA
Source: RNAcentral